RNAcentral lists this transfer RNA (73 nucleotides) under compost metagenome. Its description in RNAcentral is "tRNA-Arg". It matches the Rfam family "tRNA". From Rfam's summary of the family: Transfer RNA (tRNA) molecules are approximately 80 nucleotides in length. Their secondary structure includes four short double-helical elements and three loops (D, anti-codon, and T loops). The record is from RNAcentral.
GGUCCCUUAGUUUAAUGGAUAGAAUGUGAGAUUCCGGUUCUCAUGGUACAGGUUCGAUUCCUGUAGGGACCAC